AGCAGCGUAGUGGUUAAACACUUGGCUGCUUACCAAGUAGUUGGUGGUUCGAAACCACCAGCAGCUC
This 67-nucleotide transfer RNA is filed under the name Loxodonta africana (African savanna elephant). It matches the Rfam family "tRNA". From Rfam's summary of the family: Transfer RNA (tRNA) molecules are approximately 80 nucleotides in length. Their secondary structure includes four short double-helical elements and three loops (D, anti-codon, and T loops). Lineage: Eukaryota; Metazoa; Chordata; Mammalia; Proboscidea; Elephantidae. The record is from Rfam by way of RNAcentral.